Molecule: RNA transcript, 765 nt
Organism: Glycine soja
Lineage: Eukaryota; Viridiplantae; Streptophyta; Magnoliopsida; Fabales; Fabaceae
Gene name: rubredoxin-like
Exons: 1
Source: RefSeq, a predicted model, not a curated record
CAAUGGCUUCAGCUCUCAACCCCUUUCUCCCAACUCCACCCUACUCUCAAACCUAAACUCCAUAACUUCCCCACUCUCUCCCUCUUCACCAACAAACCCCUCUCCAAACCUCCAAAACUCACCGUCAACUCCGUCGACGUCUCCAAAGAAGACACGCCCGCGUCCCUUACCGCCCGGCUACCAGUUCGAGAAGCUUCCGGAUGAUUGGCGCUGCCCCACGUGUGGGGCCGCCCAGAGUUUCUUCCAGAGCAAGAGCGUCCAGACUCCAGAUCGCUGGGUUUGCGCAGAACCAGCAAUAUGGGCUUGGUGGCAAUUCUCUCACUUCGGCCCAGAAGACUCUUUUUAUAUACGGCACUUGUUCUUCUUUUCCCUCUUUUUGGGUGGCUACUUCCUACAAUAGUUUUUGUAUAAUGCAACCUUUUUGAACAAGGGUUAUGUUUUAUUUGAUGAUUGUAUAUUCUUCUCUAUCUGGAACUUGUAUUUCAAUGCUUAAGGUAAUUUGUUGCUAUGUACGUACGUAGCCACCACUCAAAGAGUCUUCAUCUCUCUCGUAUUGUUAUUGUCUUCGACUUUUCGGGGGUUUCCCAAGAAACCUGGAAUGGAAACUUAACUAGGCUAGCCGAAGCUUUUCUUGCUUUGCUAAAUCAUGGAUGAUUUAUACCAUUUUUACUAUUUCUUAUCUCUUUUUUCUCUAUGUUUAUCUCACCUUGUGAUUGUAAAAAUAAUUGUCAGAAUUUGUUGAAUAAAAGGCAAUUUCUCGUCAUA